RNAcentral lists this ribosomal RNA (292 nucleotides) under uncultured bacterium. Its description in RNAcentral is "partial 16S ribosomal RNA". It matches the Rfam family "Bacterial small subunit ribosomal RNA", at positions 55 to 339 of the family's 1533-position model. The record is from RNAcentral.
AUGCAAGUCGAGGGGCAGCGAGGGAGUGGCAACACUUCUGUCGGCGACCGGCGCACGGGUGAGUAACGCGUAUGCAACCUGCCCGUCACAGGGGGAUAACCGGUGGAAACGCCGACUAAUAUCCCAUGGUUUCCUUUGGGGGCAUCCCCGAGGGAUUAAAGGCUUCGGCCGGUGACGGAUGGGCUCGCGUGACAUUAGGCAGUAGGCGGGGUAACGGCCCACCUAACCUACGAUGUCUAGGGGUUCUGAGAGGAAGGUCCCCACACUGGAACUGAGACACGGUCCAGACUCC